Papilio polytes (common Mormon) is the source of this 259-nucleotide long non-coding RNA. RefSeq lists it as uncharacterized. Lineage: Eukaryota; Metazoa; Arthropoda; Insecta; Lepidoptera; Papilionidae. The transcript is spliced from 3 exons. The record is from RefSeq and is a predicted model, not a curated record.
CUUUUUACAAGUGUCAAUAAUAAACGGUCAGAAAACAGAAGCGACUGUGAUAGUCCAUGACUCAACAAAAGCGGUUACACAUCUCGUAAGAACUCUGGUGUGAUGUACAAAGGGUUCGUUGUUGAGGUGAAAUUCGAUCGCACGCGACAUCGCCGCCCGCUCUGAGGAUGUUCGGCCCAAAUGAUACCAUGGAUACAAGGAUCAGUUGCCGUCAUCAUUGGUACCUGUACUGGCUUCGCCCGCGACUCCGUCCGCGCGG